RNAcentral lists this long non-coding RNA (685 nucleotides) under Panax ginseng (ginseng). RNAcentral describes it as "long non-coding RNA (PGIN_LNC015743)". Lineage: Eukaryota; Viridiplantae; Streptophyta; Magnoliopsida; Apiales; Araliaceae. The record is from RNAcentral.
CACUACAUAAUCAUUAAUUAUCUUUACAAUUAACCAUCUAAAGAUACCACAGUUCUUCAAUCAAAGUAUAUAUCUACAUAUAUAGAGAGAGUACACUUCAUAAUUUCGUCCCUUGUCUUCCGUAAACGUAGCACGAAAAUUUGAUACCUAAUAUUGUAAGGCAGGUCGUAGAAGCAGUCUUCCUGCACAUAUUUAAAAAUAAUAGCAAAGUCAGGAAAAUGAAGGGAAAUUAUGAUCAUAAAGGUGCUGGUAUCUAUAUAUUAAUAAGACAUUUUAUCUAUAUUUAACAUAUUUCACUUACUGACUUUCCAACUUUCCACACUAAUCAAUCCUAAUACAUUCAACAUUAACCUUCAAAUUCAGAAAACUAUAAAAAUUAUUGGUACCUAACAAUAACUGAAAUUUGUAUAAAGGUGUGAACGCAAUCAAACUCACACUGCCCACCUAUGCAUACUAAUACUAGAGAUUAGUUUAUAGCAUGAAUAACAUAAAGACCUCAAAUUUGAUUAGUGCCAAAAGAACAUAUUAAUCUAUAAAAAUUUAUUGCAUCAAUAAGAAUAUACCGGGCAGGAGCCAUUUAAAGCAGAAGACACUGAUUCAGCAUUUGCUUCAGAAUUAUCAUCAACCAAACAAGAAACUACCAGAACCCCAAACAAACAAUUCGAUGUUUUUCUCAGGUUAUGAG